RNAcentral lists this long non-coding RNA (1364 nucleotides) under Pogona vitticeps (central bearded dragon). RNAcentral describes it as "lncRNA (ENSPVIG00000006066.1)". The record is from RNAcentral. Lineage: Eukaryota; Metazoa; Chordata; Lepidosauria; Squamata; Agamidae.
UGUAGUCCAUGAAAAUAAGCUUUCUGUGCUCUGUUUCUGCAGUAGUGGAUUUCCCAUGCAAUUCAGAACCCGUGGUUUCCAGAGUUUGGAUCAAGUGCUGAAGUCCUUCCUGCUGAACCAGUGAUCAUCAUCAACAAGAACAGCAACAACAAAUGUGUUUUAUUUCAUCUGGUUCAACCGUGCUUCACUAAUGAGUCAUCCACACCACAUUCACCUCAUCCAUUUGUGUGAGUCAUGUGGAACAACAGCAUGUAGCUUUUAUUGCAGUAGCAGUCUACGUUUCUUUCUAAGGCCAAGUGGAUGGAUGACACCAUGAUUUCCCCAGACUUAUUUAAGAGGUGGUUCAGGCUGAGGUGGGAGAUUUCAGAACCAGAAACAGCUCCUUCUUCAGCACCAUGGACAGCAAUUAAGAAAUGGUGCACCUUGAAGCUUUUCUAUCAGUCACCACUGCUAUUUCCCUCUCGUCUCCAGCUCGGCUCAGAUGCUACGGAAAUAACAUAUCAUCACGCGGGGGCUGAUGGCAUCAGAUGGGUACUUCUGCUGCUCGAGUCAGCUCCGUGGAAAUUAUUUAUGAAAGGAAGUAGGAUACAAAACUGCUUGACAUUUUAGAAGACCUCAUUAACAUGCACUUGUGGAGAAUCAGAUCUGGAGUAGCUGAAAGUUUUCCCUGUCCCAGCGCUUAAUUAGAGGCUGGGCCAACUGCGUUUAAUGCUCAUGAAAAAUUUAACCAUCAUCACCACCACCACCGCCCGGCUGCUCUUACUGACUGAGGAUCAAAAGAUGUAACCAGAAGGAUCAGCCAUGACUGGAACGGGAGAGAAGAGGCCCCAUGAAAGGGGGGGGGUGUUCUCCUCCUCAAAGACCAUGGCUCCCAGUUGAGAAGUCUCAGAAGUUUGGAGUUUCUUCCAGCCAGUGAACCUGGGCCAUUCUGAUGUCAGAUGAAUUAGCCCCAGCGUUUGUGUUUGGACAUUAAAGGAGCCCCACAAGAUGCUGAAUCUGUUUGGAGGAUGGGGAUGUUUGUUGCUUAACUCCUGAGUCAGUCAUCUUAAUUUUGCCCACUGGAGGAUGUGCCUGUCAAGAAGGAGGUUUCUUGGGUGGUUUGUUGGUUUUGGUUUGUUGGUUUGUUUGUUUGCAUCUGUUUCAAUUCCAUUUGUCCGUUUGUGUCAUUUAUUUAUUUUUCUGUAGCCUCCCAGAGUAGCGGCUUGCCACUACAUGGGCGNNNGAAGGAAGGAAGGAAGGAAGGAAGGAAGGAAGGAAGGAGGGAGCGAGCGAGAGAGAGAGAGAGAGAGAGAGAGAGAGAGAGAAAGAAAGAAAGAAAGAAAGAAAGAAAGAAAGAAAGAAAGAAAGAAAGAAAGAAAGAAAGA